CGAAUACGUGGAGAAAUACAAUCAACAGCAGAAAUCAGAGCAGCUUGUUGCAGAAGAGGCUUCACCAAAGACAUCCGAGGUAGGCGAAGGCAGGCACCUAAUGGAAAAGGUCAAGUCUGCGGAAGAGAACAUUAACAAAGCAGAUAGAGAGGACAUGAAAAGAAAUCGGAAGCAGUCGUUCCCUACAUGGAUGAUGUUGCUACUCUUCUCGAUCUUCGGCGUGUUAAUGGCAUUGCCUCUCCUUCAACCAUGAAACCGCAAAAUGGAAGGUUGCAUAGGUAAUGGUAGACAGACUAGUUUGUGCCAAG
This 308-nucleotide unclassified non-coding RNA is filed under the name Hevea brasiliensis (rubber tree). The record is from RNAcentral. Lineage: Eukaryota; Viridiplantae; Streptophyta; Magnoliopsida; Malpighiales; Euphorbiaceae.